AUUGAACGCUGGCGGCAUGCCUUACACAUGCAAGUCGAACGGUAACAGGUCUUCAGAUGCUGACGAGUGGCGAACGGGUGAGUAAUACAUCGGAACGUGCCUAGUAGUGGGGGAUAACUACUCGAAAGAGUGGCUAAUACCGCAUGAGAUCUACGGAUGAAAGCAGGGGAUCGCAAGACCUUGUGCUACUGGAGCGGCCGAUGGCAGAUUAGGUAGUUGGUGGGAUAAGAGCUUACCAAGCCGACGAUCUGUAGCUGGUCUGAGAGGACGAUCAGCCACACUGGGACUGAGACACGGCCCAGACUCCUACGGGAGGCAGCAGUGGGGAAUUUUGGACAAUGGGCGCAAGCCUGAUCCAGCAAUGCCGCGUGCAGGAUGAAGGCCUUCGGGUUGUAAACUGCUUUUGUACGGAACGAAAAGCCCCGGGUUAAUACCCUGGGGUCAUGACGGUACCGUAAGAAUAAGCACCGGCUAACUACGUGCCAGCCGCCGCAGUAA
This 498-nucleotide ribosomal RNA is filed under the name uncultured bacterium. RNAcentral's name for it is "partial 16S ribosomal RNA". It matches the Rfam family "Bacterial small subunit ribosomal RNA", at positions 30 to 523 of the family's 1533-position model. The record is from RNAcentral.